AGAAGGUUCCUUCGGGAACUGGAGAGUGGCGCACGGGUGAGUAACGCGUGGGGACCUACCUCUUAGUGGGGGAUAACGGUUGGAAACGACCGCUAAUACCGCAUACGCCCUUCGGGGGAAAGAUUUAUCGCUAAGAGAUGGACCCGCGUUGGAUUAGAUAGUUGGUGAGGUAACGGCUCACCAAGUCAGCGAUCCAUAGCUGGUUUGAGAGGAUGAUCAGCCACACUGGGACUGAGACACGGCCCAGACUCCUACGGGAGGCAGCAGUGGGGAAUAUUGGACAAUGGGGGCAACCCUGAUCCAGCCAUGCCGCGUGAGUGAAGAAGGCCUUCGGGUUGUAAAGCUCUUUCAGAUGCGAAGAUGAUGACGGUAACAUCAGAAGAAGCCCCGGCUAAUUUCGUGCCAGCAGCCGCGGUAAUACGAAAGGGGCUAGCGUUGUUCGGAUUUACUGGGCGUAAAGGGCACGCAGGCGGUCUUGCCAGUCAGGGGUGAAAGCCCGGGGCUCAACCCCGGAACUGCCUCUGAUACUGCAAGACUAGAGACUAGGAGAGGGUGGUGGAAUUCCCAGUG
RNAcentral lists this ribosomal RNA (570 nucleotides) under Thalassospira profundimaris. RNAcentral describes it as "bacterial SSU rRNA". It matches the Rfam family "Bacterial small subunit ribosomal RNA", at positions 69 to 675 of the family's 1533-position model. Lineage: Bacteria; Pseudomonadati; Pseudomonadota; Alphaproteobacteria; Rhodospirillales; Thalassospiraceae. The record is from RNAcentral.